RNAcentral lists this long non-coding RNA (1538 nucleotides) under Urocitellus parryii (Arctic ground squirrel). RNAcentral's name for it is "lncRNA (ENSUPAG00010006963.1)". The record is from RNAcentral. Lineage: Eukaryota; Metazoa; Chordata; Mammalia; Rodentia; Sciuridae.
UUUUAGUUCCUGGCUCAGCAUGGUGCAGGCAGCUGGUUGUCUCCUGUGUUAGGGCUGAGGCCAUGAGCCACCUCUACUGAGGGUCCUGCAGGGCAUCAUGGUCCUCUGGCCUUGGCUGAGAUUCUUCUAGAACUAUUUAUGGGUAGCUGUCCAAUCUCUGAAAUGUGACUUGGAAAAUUUCAGAGCCUAUCAGAUUUCCUGACCAUAUCAGCUUUAGUCACAUCCAUCCCAAGGUCACCACCAGUGAGUUGCUGUUGCGUAGACAGUAAGGUGAGAAGAGCAAGAGAGCACAGUGCUGUUGAGAUGAGGAGGGGCGUCUGCCAUGACCAGUAGACACCAGCCUGCUUCCAGAGGAGGAAAUGGCUUCCGGGGAGAAGAUGAGCUUCAGGGUCUUUCCGCACUCACCUUGGGAAACCCUGAUARAAGGCCCCUCCGAGGGAAGCAAGACCCUUCUUCCAGAGUGGCACAUGUAGUUGGCAGCAGAGGAGCUGAUGGGAGCCUGGAAUCGGGUUCAACCUGGCCACAAGUUCAAGGUUAGACUCUGGAGCCUGCACUCCAGUAGGGACUAUUUUGUGGGCAAAAAAUCUUCCAAUUAAGAAUUGACGGGUUUCCCCACAGGGCUCCGUGCUCCGAGGGCUUCAUCCUCCGAGGCUCCCGUUCAGCUGAUGAGGACGUGGGUUUGGCCGUCUGUGUGGAUCUCUCAGGUGAUAGCUGUUAUCUCCAGUAAAGGGCCGCUCUGUGYCUCGUUCCUGGUCUGCAAACAUCUCUGGAGCGUCCUAGGUGCUGGGCUCUGGUGUGUAGGUGGAGCACCAAGCCAGGUGACCCCUCCCCUUGGACCUGUCAGCGGUCACUGAUCUCUGGAAGUGAAAUUUACAGGCCAGGGGCUGGUCAGAACUCCUGGGGGAAGACAGUAGGGUUAUCCCUGGCCACYGGGGUGCUUGGAAAUGAAUAUUUGCACCCUCAGCCAAGCUCUGGUGAAGUCUAACUUCAUUGCGCUACUCUACUUGCUCCUGAUGGGAGGGGACGAUGGCUUCCUCCUACCUCUAGCCGGGGGACCUUCAGGUGUGUACCAAAGUCCCUGACUGGCCGACCAGCUUUGGCUGGCUUCGGUCGAAUGAAGACAGACUGCAUGGAGUGAUCGCUGAAUCUAAAACUGUACCACAAGUUCUCUGGGAGUCGGGAAAGGUACUCAGCUCAUAAAAGCACAUUUCUAGCUACCACGUGUGCUGCGUUUUCUAAUUUAGAAAGCGCUUCAUCUCCUGGGUGUUGGUGGAAAUCAAAUGAGCAUGCACGCUGGGGCCUGAGGCUCUCACGGUUCCAGAACAGCUCUGCAGCUGGGGAGAUGCGCCCCACAGUCCCAGCACAAGGAAAGCUAAGGGGAAGGCGGGACUCAGGUUUUUUGAACUUUAAACUUUGCAUCUGCAGCUACAAGGGAGAUGCCUGCAAGCUGUGCUGACCUGUGGUUGGGGAGACGAGGGUGUGGCCCUGUAGGGCUCCUCCUGGCCCUGCCUGGUCCACUCUGGAGGUAUUUGGGUGUC